UACGUAGGGGGCGAGCGUUAUCCGGAUUUACUGGGUGUAAAGGGAGCGUAGACGGCGUCGCAAGUCUGAAGUGAAAGCCCGUGGCUCAACCGCGGAACCGCUUUGGAAACUGCGAGGCUGGAGUGCUGGAGAGGUAAGCGGAAUUCCUGGUGUAGCGGUGAAAUGCGUAGAUAUCACGAAGAACCCCGAUUGCGAAGGCAGCCUGCCGCAGCGUUACUGACGCUGAAGCUCGAAAGCGCGGGUAUCGAACAGG
Molecule: ribosomal RNA, 253 nt
Filed under: uncultured Lachnospiraceae bacterium
Lineage: Bacteria; Bacillati; Bacillota; Clostridia; Lachnospirales; Lachnospiraceae
Description: partial 16S ribosomal RNA
Rfam family: Bacterial small subunit ribosomal RNA
Source: RNAcentral